Caenorhabditis brenneri is the source of this 73-nucleotide non-coding RNA. The record is from the annotation of a GenBank genome assembly. Lineage: Eukaryota; Metazoa; Nematoda; Chromadorea; Rhabditida; Rhabditidae.
CGUCGCAUGGCGCAGUCGGUAGCGCUUUAGUCUUCUGACAGAACGGUCCUGGGUUCGAACCCUCUUGUGGUCA